Ictidomys tridecemlineatus (thirteen-lined ground squirrel) is the source of this 959-nucleotide non-coding RNA. NCBI's taxonomy places the organism in Eukaryota, Metazoa, Chordata, Mammalia, Rodentia, Sciuridae. The record is from RefSeq and is a predicted model, not a curated record.
CAUGAGGCUUUUGAAAGCAGGUGCUAGUGACAUUUUAGAUGAGGAAACAGAUUCAGACUGUGAAGAGGAUUGUCUAAAUCCUCACAUCCCGUCAGCAUGAAAACACAAGCACAGAUCUUCUGACACCAAGACUCGUGCUUCUGUGACGUUUUGUAUCUCCCAGUUAAGAUUUUGACCUUGAGUUAUUCCAGGGCUUUGCAUGUAAUCUGAUCAUACAAACAAAACAACACAAAACAUCGAGCCAAAGAGGAGAAUUCAUUGAAAAGGAAGAGACCUGAGCCACAGAGGUACACAAGGCUCAAGGAAGAACUGAAAACAAAGACCUCUGUGCCUGGUGCUUUCGGGGAGAGUGGGGUAGUGGCCUGGAAAGAGUAUGCCGGCCAUGGAUGCAGAACCACGCUGGUGAGAUUCAGAACAGACAGCAACCUGCUCAGUCGCACACUGGAAAGUGACUGGGAUUCUGACAUAUUUGCUGCUGGCUCCCUAGCUGAAGCUCUUUCUAUUUUGGCACAGCGUCAUUCAGGCAAUUCUUUGCCAGCAUGAAAUAAACACAUUUUUCAUAAACCAGAGCAGGAUCAGGAGAGCAGGCAAGGUGAACCAGAGGCUUUAUUGCAUCCAGUUAUAAAAAAAAAAAAUUCAAGGUGAACACUGAAUGCAGAUCUUGUAGCAGAGACUAUAAGUAAAUGGAAAAGGAAAGAAUACCUCCAGACUCAUUUUACAAGGCCAGUGCAAUAUUUGAAUCAGACAAGGACCCUACAAGAAAAGACAUUUUUUUGGUCAACAAACUUGAUGAAUACAAACUCUCAAUAAAAUACUAGCAAGCCAAAUUCAUCAGCAAACCCAAAGGAUCAUCCACAUCAAUUAAGUGGGAUUUAUAUUUGGAAAGUGAGGAUGGUUAAACAAGCAUGGAUCUAUUAAUGGAAUACACCAUAUUAAUAAAAUGAAAGUCAACAAAAUCA